This 434-nucleotide ribosomal RNA is filed under the name uncultured bacterium. Its description in RNAcentral is "partial 16S ribosomal RNA". It matches the Rfam family "Bacterial small subunit ribosomal RNA", at positions 29 to 507 of the family's 1533-position model. The record is from RNAcentral.
AGCGAACGCUGGCGGCAGGCCUAACACAUGCAAGUCGAACGAACCUUUCGGGGGUAGUGGCGGACGGGUGAGUAACACGUGGGAACGUGCCUUUAGGUUCGGAAUAACUCAGGGAAACGUGUGCUAAUACCGAAUGUGCCCUUCGGGGGAAAGAUUAAUCGCCUUUAGAGCGGCCCGCGUCUGAUUAGCUAGUUGGUUGAGGUAAUGGCUCACCAAGGCGACGAUCAGUAGCUGGUCUGAGAGGAUGAUCAGCCACAUUGGGACUGAGACACGGCCCAAACUCCUACGGGAGGCAGCAGUGGGGAAUCUUGCGCAAUGGGCGAAAGCCUGACGCAGCCAUGCCGCGUGAAUGAUGAAGGUCUUAGGAUUGUAAAAUUCUUUCACCGGGGACGAUAAUGACGGUACCCGGAGAAGAAGCCCCGGCUAACUUCGUG